AUGGCUGUCGUCAGCUCGUGUCGUGAGAUGUUGGGUUAAGUCCCGCAACGAGCGCAACCCUUGUCCUAUGUUGCCAGCGGGUAAUGCCGGGGACUCGUAGGAGACUGCCGGGGUCAACUCGGAGGAAGGUGGGGACGACGUCAAGUCAUCAUGCCCCUUACGUCCAGGGCUGCACACAUGCUACAAUGGCCGGUACAGAGGGCUGCUAUCCCGCGAGGGUGAGCGAAUCCCAAAAAGCCGGUCUCAGUUCGGAUUGGAGUCUGCAACUCGACUCCAUGAAGUCGGAGUCGCUAGUAAUCCCGGAUCAGCAACGCCGGGGUGAAUACGUUCCCGGGCCUUGUACACACCGCCCGUCAAACCACGAAAGUCGGCAACACCCGAAGCCGGUCACCCAACCUUUUAGGAGGGAGCCGUCGAAGGUGGGGUUGGUGAUUGGGGUUAAGUCGUAACAAGGUAGCCGUACCGGAAGGUGCGGCUGGAUCACCUCCUUUCUAAGGAGCAAUCUGCAGCAGAUCACCACAUUUUGUGGAAGAUGGCUGUGAACUCCCAGUUGAUCACUGACUAUUCGGCAUUCCCACCGAGCUGGUUUCGGUUGUACAGCGUCGCUUCGGCGUCGUUGUCCCCUAAUCAGCAGGUGAGUGUGAUCGGACUGUUCCUAUUUCGUUUUCAGGGAGCGGCCGUUUUCGCGCCCCUUGAGAACUCCAUAGCGAGCACGAGCAUCUAAUUCUCCAAGCUACAAAGAGCCAACGGUGAAUGCCUUGGCGCCUGAAGCCGAUGAAGGACGUGGGAGGCUGCGAAAAGCCACGGGGAGCUGCCUACCAAGCUUCGAUCCGUGGACGUCCGAAUGGGGAAACCCGG
RNAcentral lists this small RNA (858 nucleotides) under uncultured Acidimicrobiales bacterium. RNAcentral's name for it is "bacterial SSU rRNA". The stretch from base 1 to 491 matches the Rfam family "Bacterial small subunit ribosomal RNA", at positions 1045 to 1533 of the family's 1533-position model. Lineage: Bacteria; Bacillati; Actinomycetota; Acidimicrobiia; Acidimicrobiales. The record is from RNAcentral.